GAUGAACGCUGGCGGCGUGCCUAAUACAUGCAAGUCGAGCGAACAGACGAGGAGCUUGCUCCUCUGACGUUAGCGGCGGACGGGUGAGUAACACAUGGAUAACCUACCUAUAAGACUGGGAUAACUUCGGGAAACCGUAGCUAAUACCGGAUAAUAUAUUGAACCGCAUGGUUCAAUAGUGAAAGACGGUUUUGCUGUCACUUAUAGAUGGAUCCGCGCCGCAUUAGCUAGUUGGUAAGGUAACGGCUUACCAAGGCAACGAUGCGUAGCCGACCUGAGAGGGUGAUCGGCCACACUGGAACUGAGACACGGUCCAGACUCCUACGGGAGGCAGCAGUAGGGAAUCUUCCGCAAUGGGCGAAAGCCUGACGGAGCAACGCCGCGUGAGUGAUGAAGGUCUUCGGAUCGUAAAACUCUGUUAUUAGGGAAGAACAAAUGUGUAAGUAACUAUGCACGUCUUGACGGUACCUAAUCAGAAAGCCACGGCUAACUACGUG
This 497-nucleotide ribosomal RNA is filed under the name uncultured bacterium. RNAcentral describes it as "partial 16S ribosomal RNA". It matches the Rfam family "Bacterial small subunit ribosomal RNA", at positions 28 to 507 of the family's 1533-position model. The record is from RNAcentral.